Molecule: unclassified non-coding RNA, 203 nt
Filed under: Hevea brasiliensis (rubber tree)
Lineage: Eukaryota; Viridiplantae; Streptophyta; Magnoliopsida; Malpighiales; Euphorbiaceae
Source: RNAcentral
CCUGACCGCCCCGUUUGAACGGACGGUCAGUGGGGCGUGCUCGACGGCAUUGUGGGCCGCGACGGCGCUGCACGUCGAGGAUCGCGAAGGGGAUUGGGACCGGUGGCAGGGUGCGUACGUUCCUGCGGUUGGCGUCGCGGGCGGGGAGAGCGAGAUGGCAAGGGACGAGCGGCGCGAGGCGCAGCUGUGGAGCAUGAGCGAGG